RNAcentral lists this small RNA (50 nucleotides) under Bacillus sp. MUM 13. RNAcentral's name for it is "Bacillaceae-1 RNA". It matches the Rfam family "Bacillaceae-1 RNA", at positions 1 to 50 of the family's 67-position model. The record is from Rfam by way of RNAcentral. Lineage: Bacteria; Bacillati; Bacillota; Bacilli; Caryophanales; Bacillaceae.
AAUGGCGGAUCAAAGACUAAGAACACCGCGUCCUGCGGCAACGUCUUUGU